This 78-nucleotide transfer RNA is filed under the name Mycobacteroides chelonae. RNAcentral describes it as "tRNA-Ile". It matches the Rfam family "tRNA". Rfam says of the family: Transfer RNA (tRNA) molecules are approximately 80 nucleotides in length. Lineage: Bacteria; Bacillati; Actinomycetota; Actinomycetes; Mycobacteriales; Mycobacteriaceae. The record is from RNAcentral. RNAcentral also lists the same sequence under 3 other names.
GGUCCGGUAGCUCAGGCUGGUGAGAGCGCCGCUCUGAUAAGGCGGGAGUCGGAGGUUCAAAUCCUCCUCGGACCACCA